GCGGGCGUAGCUCAGCUGGCUAGAGCGACUGCUUGCCAUGCAGUAGGUCGUCGGUUCGAAUCCGAUCGCCCGCUCCA
RNAcentral lists this transfer RNA (77 nucleotides) under Planctomycetota bacterium. RNAcentral's name for it is "tRNA-Gly". It matches the Rfam family "tRNA". From Rfam's summary of the family: Transfer RNA (tRNA) molecules are approximately 80 nucleotides in length. Their secondary structure includes four short double-helical elements and three loops (D, anti-codon, and T loops). Further hydrogen bonds mediate the characteristic L-shaped molecular structure. tRNAs have two regions of fundamental functional importance: the anti-codon, which is responsible for specific mRNA codon recognition, and the 3' end, to which the tRNAs corresponding amino acid is attached (by aminoacyl-tRNA synthetases). tRNAs cope with the degeneracy of the genetic code in two manners: having more than one tRNA (with a specific anti-codon) for a particular amino acid; and 'wobble' base-pairing, i.e. permitting non-standard base-pairing at the 3rd anti-codon position. Lineage: Bacteria; Pseudomonadati; Planctomycetota. The record is from RNAcentral.